GCUGACCUUAGUACGAGAGGACCGGGUUGGACGAACCUAUGGUGUACCGGUUGUGGCGCCAGCUGCAUCGCCGGGUAGCUAAGUUCGGAAAGGAUAACCACUGAAAGCAUCUAAGUGGGAAGCCCCCUUCAAGAUAAGGUAUCUAUUAAGAGUCGUUCUAGACUAGGACGUUGAUAGGCAGGAUGUGUAAGCGUGGUAACGCGUUCAGCUGACCUGUACUAAAUACUCGUUUUGCUUUAUUC
This 242-nucleotide ribosomal RNA is filed under the name Halobacteriovoraceae bacterium. RNAcentral's name for it is "partial 23S ribosomal RNA". It matches the Rfam family "Bacterial large subunit ribosomal RNA", at positions 2671 to 2925 of the family's 2925-position model. Lineage: Bacteria; Pseudomonadati; Bdellovibrionota; Bacteriovoracia; Bacteriovoracales; Halobacteriovoraceae. The record is from RNAcentral.